RNAcentral lists this ribosomal RNA (321 nucleotides) under Triticum aestivum (bread wheat). RNAcentral's name for it is "partial small subunit ribosomal RNA". The record is from RNAcentral. Lineage: Eukaryota; Viridiplantae; Streptophyta; Magnoliopsida; Poales; Poaceae.
AUGAUGAGGAUCCUCAGGUCAGAUGAUAAAGGAUGGUACGUUUGCGUACACAGGGCAGAGCACAACCAUGAACUUUCUGUCAACUGUAUGCAGAAAUUACACUGGAAGUCUCAUCGGCAGAUAGAUAGGCACACAGAGGACCUUGUGAAACAGCUGAGGGAAAGCAAUGUAAGCAUAAGCAAGGUUUACAGUGUUGUGGGCAGUUUUUUUGGAUCAGUGAAGGAGGUGACGUUCACCAAAAGGUCUCUGAAGAAUCUAUGUGGGAAGCUUAACCGCGAGCAAUCAGAAAAUGAUGCAACUAAGACCAGCUGGACGCCCUAG